This 253-nucleotide ribosomal RNA is filed under the name uncultured bacterium. RNAcentral's name for it is "partial 16S ribosomal RNA". It matches the Rfam family "Bacterial small subunit ribosomal RNA", at positions 524 to 776 of the family's 1533-position model. The record is from RNAcentral.
UACGUAGGGUGCAAGCGUUGUUCGGAUUUAUUGGGCGUAAAGCGCGUGUAGGCGGUUUCUUAAGUCUGAUGUGAAAGCCCUGGGCUCAACCCAGGAAGUGCAUUGGAUACUGGGAAACUUGAAUCCGGGAGAGGGUAGUGGAAUUCCUAGUGUAGGAGUGAAAUGCGUAGAUAUUAGGAGGAACACCGGUGGCGAAGGCGGCUGCCUGGACCGAUAUUGACGCUGAGACGCGAAAGCGUGGGGAGCAAACAGG